CUCCAACCUUUAGAGGCUUGUAUCUUAAUUGCCUUCUACACUGCAAGAAGACAGUUAUCUCUGACAAUGAAUUCCGCCCACUGGAAACUCAAGCUUGCCUCUACAAAUGGAAGUUGUUGGCUGCCAUGAUCCAAAGCCUAACAAGUUGGUAGCAUCAGUAGAACCUUGUUGAUGCACACGAGCAUCAAGGAAGACACCAGGCAAAACUUAGUUAUCUCUGACGAUAAAGUCCUCCCGUUGGAAACUCAAGCUUGCCUCUACAAAUGGAAGAUGUUGGCUGCCAUGCAUAUGGCAUUGGCACCUACUCUGUAAUUGAUGGUUGUAGUUAGAAGUUAAUUUGUUUCAAUCUCUUGUUUGUUUCAAUGGAUGUGUAUUAUAUUUUUUUAUGUAUUCUGUUUUAGAGUAAUUUUUUUUUUAAAUUUUAAUUUUGUGAAAAACUUUUUCGGGCGAGCAAUCAUCGCCGCAAUAAACUUUUGCCAUAUAUGCAAUUUCCGGCAAGAAACAAUAGCCGCAAAUAAACUUUUCUGACUUGUUUAAGGUGCCAGAAAUAACCCCAUUAGCCAUGUUGGAUUAUACUGGUGAGUUUUUACUCUUGGAAUACUUUUCCCACAACGAAAAAUAGCCAUAA
Carya illinoinensis is the source of this 628-nucleotide long non-coding RNA. RefSeq lists it as uncharacterized. NCBI's taxonomy places the organism in Eukaryota, Viridiplantae, Streptophyta, Magnoliopsida, Fagales, Juglandaceae. The record is from RefSeq and is a predicted model, not a curated record. The transcript has 4 exons.